CUUUUACUUUUACUUUUUAUUUUUUUAGAGACAGAAUCUCCCUCUGUCGCCCAGGCUGGAGAGCAGUGGCGCGAUCAACGCUCAGUGCAGCCUCCACCUCCCCGGUUCGAGCGAUUCUCCUGCCUCGGUCUCCUGAGUAGAUGGGAUUACAGGCGCCCGCCAGCAUGCCCGGCUAAUUUUUAAUUUUUUGUAGAGACCUGGUGUUGCUCUCUUGGCCAGGCUGGUCUCGACCUUCUGAGCCCAAGUUAUCCUCCCACCUUGGCCUCUCCAAGUGCUGGGAUUACAGGCGUGAGCCAUUGCACCCGGCCUAAGAGAUAUUUUUAAAUGGUAUUAUCAAAUAAAUCAUUAAAUAGAUUCGGGCUAUGCACCGUCUUGCCCACCUGCCUUCAAGCCCCACGCAGGACGGGACCCCCUCCUGCCACGGUCCUGGGACGGGGCACCUCGAGCUCACUCAGUGGUGACAGCGAGGCCGCCUGUCGGGCCAUGACCAGCAGGUGGCAGCACAGACCAGCUCCCGGGAGACCUGUCCUGGCUCCAGCUCCCAGCGUCCCAGAAACACCGCAGUCUAGACGCUCGCCAGGCGGAAUUCCUCGCCCCUGAAGUCAGUCUGCGUGUAGACAUUCGCGAUACCAGCUCCCAGUCAUCAUUUCCCACUCUGCGUCUCCCAGGCUGUCUCGCCAGGGCCCUGGAUCCCUGGGCUGAGCGGCUUAGUAAGGGUCGGGGUGGCGGGGAACCCUGGGCGCCGCACCCGGUGCGAGGGGCCCACUUCCCAGAAAGCAGAUUGCGAGAGGGAAGCCAUCCAAGGCCGGUGCCGGGCGUGGUCCUUUCUGAGAAUGUUGAGGACGCUUCCCCCCCCCCGAGCCUGGCACGUGAGCCCGUUCCCCCCCUCCCACCCGCCCCCUCGUCCCCACCGCCUGAUAGGAACUGAAAGUGUCAAGUUUAGUGCCCAGGAGACAGGUGUCUGCACGCUCAGGCCGACUGAAACCAAACCUGGCCUGGGAGAAACGUAUCCCAGGGGCCACCUGGGUCCCUGAGGCCGCUUUGGUUCAAACCUCUUCUGAAACCUGUCAGCAUCUUGCAACAAUAAAAGAGGGUCUCUUGUGCCUGCAAUCCCAGCACUUUGGGAGGCUGAGGCGGGAGGAUCGCUUAAGCCCAGGAGUUUGAGACCAGCCUGGACAAGACAGCAAGACCCCGUCUCUACUAAAAAAUAAAAAAAUUAGUGGCCGGGCGUGAUAGCUCAUGCCUGUAAUCCCACCACUUUGCGAGGCGGGUGGAUCACCUGAGGUCAGGAGUUUGAGAUCAGCCUGGCCAACAUGGUGAAACCCCGUCUCUACUGAAAACACAAAAAUUAGCUGAGCGUGGUGGCAGUUGCCUGUAAUCCCAGCUACUCAGGAGGCUGAGGCAGGAGAAUCGCUUGAACCCAGGAGGCAGAGGUUGCAAUGACCCAGGAUCACACCACUACACUCCAGCCUGGGCGACAGAGCAAGACUCUGUCUUAAAAAAGUAAUAAUAAAUAAAUAAAAAUUAAAAAAAAAAAAGCCAGGUGUGGCAGUGCACACCUAUAGUCCAAGCUGCUCGGGAGGCUGAGGCAGGAGUAUUGCUUGAGUCCAGGAGGCUGAGGCUGCAGUGAGCCAUGAUUGCACCACUGCACUCCAGUCUGGGCGACAGGGUGAGACCCUGUCUCCAAAAAAAAUAAAAAAUUAAUAAU
Long non-coding RNA from Homo sapiens (human), 1708 nucleotides. The record is from Ensembl. NCBI's taxonomy places the organism in Eukaryota, Metazoa, Chordata, Mammalia, Primates, Hominidae.